This 438-nucleotide ribosomal RNA is filed under the name uncultured bacterium. RNAcentral describes it as "bacterial SSU rRNA". It matches the Rfam family "Bacterial small subunit ribosomal RNA", at positions 373 to 793 of the family's 1533-position model. The record is from RNAcentral.
GGGCGCAAGCCUGAUGCAGCCAUGCCGCGUGUAUGAAGAAGGCCUUCGGGUUGUAAAGGUACUUUUCUAGCAGUUGAGGAAGGUGGGUAUCGUUAAUAGCAUACUCAUUUCGACGUUUAGCUGCAGAAGAAGCACCGGCUAACUUCCGUGCCAGCAGCCGCGGUAAUACGGAGGGUGCGAGCGUUUAAUCGGAAUUUACUGGGCGUAAAGCGCAUGCAGGUGGUUUGUUAAGUCAGAUGUGAAAGCCCGGGGCUCAACCUCGGAAUUGCAUUUGAAACUGGCAAACUAGAGUACUGUAGAGGGGGUAGAAUUUCAGGUGUAGCGGUGAAAUGCGUAGAGAUCUGAAGGAAUACCGGUGGCGAAGGCGGCCCCCCUGGACAGAUACUGACACUCAGAUGCGAAAGCGUGGGGAGCAAACAGGAUUAGAUACCCUGGUAG